CCAGACACAAGUCCUCUCGAAGGUUUGUUCUUUAAUAAAUAGUGAAUCAGUUUGAAGCCAGGGAAAUUGAUUUGACUUCAGGAAGUAGAAGCAAACAUUGCCAGUAACCACUAGAGCAUAUAUGUGUUCCUAAUUAGAAGAUCAAGAGUAAUCUGUUAAAGUAGUUGGUUCUUUUAUAGAUUUCAACAAAGACCUUGAAAUCUAACAAGAUUAUGUUUAAUACCCAUAAGCCAAAAUUAGCAUGAAAUGAAAAAUAUAUGAAAAUUAUACUUACUACAUUAUCUUGAGCAGGAGGGAAUUUGUCAUGAAUCAAUUUUUAGUAGUAAAUAUUAUUAAACAAAGCAAUGUUCAGUUUAAUCAAAGAACAUUCAGGGCCCUGUAGUCCCAAAAAAAAGUAUUACAUUUUAAUGUGUAUUGCCUAAAAUCAACUCUAGAAAGUAUUUCCUGUUGUGAUUUAGUAUUUUAGUUUCUAAUUUGUAAUUAGUCUUUUAGAAUAAAGUAUAUGGUCCCUACUGUUAAGAAAAAUAUGCCUUUCUUUUUUUCUUCAGCAAUAGUAGACGUCGCCAUGAAAGUG
This 574-nucleotide long non-coding RNA is filed under the name Bos taurus (domestic cattle). RNAcentral's name for it is "long non-coding RNA NONBTAT022391". The record is from RNAcentral. Lineage: Eukaryota; Metazoa; Chordata; Mammalia; Artiodactyla; Bovidae.